GACAGAGGGUGCAAACGUUGUUCGGAAUUACUGGGCGUAAAGCGUGUGUAGGCGGCUACAUAAGUCGGAUGUGAAAGCCCCGGGCUCAACCCGGGAAGUGCACUCGAUACUGCGUAGCUUGAGUCUUGGAGAGGUUGGUGGAAUUCUCGGUGUAGAGGUGAAAUUCGUAGAUAUCGAGAGGAACACCGGUGGCGAAGGCGGCCAACUGGACGAAGACUGACGCUGAGACACGAAAGCGUGGGGAGCAAACAGG
RNAcentral lists this ribosomal RNA (253 nucleotides) under uncultured bacterium. RNAcentral describes it as "partial 16S ribosomal RNA". It matches the Rfam family "Bacterial small subunit ribosomal RNA", at positions 524 to 776 of the family's 1533-position model. The record is from RNAcentral.